This is a small nucleolar RNA of Camelus dromedarius (Arabian camel), 130 nucleotides long. The record is from Ensembl. Lineage: Eukaryota; Metazoa; Chordata; Mammalia; Artiodactyla; Camelidae.
AUCGAGGCUGGAGUCACACUUGGGUAUCAGCUAUUGCCUUAGUGUGCGAGAGUCCUCGAAGAGUCACUGCGAACCUUAUCCAUGGGCUGUGGCCCUCAUGGCAUAGUCAGUCACCAGGUUAGUGACGUGC